Molecule: ribosomal RNA, 497 nt
Filed under: uncultured bacterium
Lineage: Bacteria
Description: partial 16S ribosomal RNA
Rfam family: Bacterial small subunit ribosomal RNA
Source: RNAcentral
GAUGAACGCUGGCGGCGUGCCUAAUACAUGCAAGUCGAGCGAAAAGAUGAGGAGCUUGCUCCUCUGACGUUAGCGGCGGACGGGUGAGUAACACGUGGAUAACCUACCUAUAAGACUGGGAUAACUUCGGGAAACCGGAGCUAAUACCGGAUAAUAUAUUGAACCGCAUGGUUCAAUAGUGAAAGACGGUUUUGCUGUCACUUCUAGAUGGAUCCGCGCCGCAUUAGCUAGUUGGUAAGGUAACGGCUUACCAAGGCAACGAUGCGUAGCCGACCUGAGAGGGUGAUCGGCCACACUGGAACUGAGACACGGUCCAGACUCCUACGGGAGGCAGCAGUAGGGAAUCUUCCGCAAUGGGCGAAAGCCUGACGGAGCAACGCCGCGUGAGUGAUGAAGGUCUUCGGAUCGUAAAACUCUGUUAUUAGGGAAGAACAAAUGUGUAAGUAGCUAUGCACGUCUUGACGGUACCUAAUCAGAAAGCCACGGCUAACUACGUG